Molecule: ribosomal RNA, 485 nt
Filed under: uncultured bacterium
Lineage: Bacteria
Description: bacterial SSU rRNA
Rfam family: Bacterial small subunit ribosomal RNA
Source: RNAcentral
GCUGGCGGCAGGCCUAACACAUGCAAGUCGAGCGGUAACAGAAGGAAAGCUUGCUUUCUUUGCUGACGAGCGGCGGACGGGUGAGUAAUGCCUGGGAAUAUGCCUUAGUGUGGGGGAUAACUAUUGGAAACGAUAGCUAAUACCGCAUAACGUCUUCGGACUAAAGAGGGGGACCUUCGGGCCUCUCGCGCUAAGAUUAGCCCAGGUGGGAUUAGCUAGUUGGUGAGGUAAAGGCUCACCAAGGCAACGAUCCCUAGCUGGUCUGAGAGGAUGAUCAGCCACACUGGAACUGAGACACGGUCCAGACUCCUACGGGAGGCAGCAGUGGGGAAUAUUGCACAAUGGGGGAAACCCUGAUGCAGCCAUGCCGCGUGUAUGAAGAAGGCCUUCGGGUUGUAAAGUACUUUCAGUCGUGAGGAAGGCAUUGUAGUUAAUAGCUGCAGUGCUUGACGUUAGCGACAGAAGAAGCACCGGCUAACUCCGUG